ACGUUUAUCACCAAAUCACCGUGAACUAGAAAACACUCCCUUCUCAAAGGACGAACGAGGAAGCCAGGGUGGAUUGCGGAUCAAAGAUGGAAUAACCGGGCACGGCUUCGGCUAGCACGGCUCUAUCUCGCAUUGCCAAUCGUUCUAGGGGUCUCGAACCUCAAUCCGAUGUGAAGUGUCAUUGCGACCACCUGGCAGACUGCAUUCCCAGUCUCUCUUCGGGGAGGCUUAGGUCUAAGCAGCGUCUGCCGAAUCCUUUCACCACAUUUUUUAACCCCUUUAACCACAUACUAAUAACUGAACCUUUUUUAUUCUUGAUCUGCUUUAUUGCAGUGAUAGAUUAAAAGAUAUACGUAAUGCUGAACAACUCUUAGCAAUGGAUAUCUUGGUUCUCGUAACGAUGAAGAACGCAGCGAAAUGCGAUACGUAAUGCGAAUUGCAGAAUUCAGUGAAUCAUCAAAUCUUUGAACGCAAAUGGCGCUCUCGGGAUAGGCCCGGGAGCAUGCCUCUCUGAGUAUCGGUUCUAUCAAUCAACGACAGCGUGCUUGUAAAAGCAUUAGCUGGGCAGUUGGAAAAUGAGCGUCUGGUUGCGCAAGCUAACCAGUCACUUUAAACAGAUAGAAGCUUGGAUCGCACUAGAAGGCGCCGACUGUCUUCGGACAGUAGGCUAGCAAGUCUCCGACUGGCUGUCUCCUUUACUAGUGACGUGGAUAGAAGUACCACUUGCUGGUCUUUCAAAACGUCUGCUGGUGUUGGUGUUUGGCUUGGAGUUCGUGUGAAAGUCUAGGUACUGUGAUUCAUGUCUUGUCAUCGAAUUCAAGCAUGUUCUGUUUCGGCAGCAUGUUUCUUUGAAUUAGAUCUCAGAUG
RNAcentral lists this ribosomal RNA (867 nucleotides) under uncultured fungus. Its description in RNAcentral is "eukaryotic LSU rRNA". The stretch from base 366 to 520 matches the Rfam family "5.8S ribosomal RNA". Lineage: Eukaryota; Fungi. The record is from RNAcentral.